This 292-nucleotide ribosomal RNA is filed under the name uncultured bacterium. Its description in RNAcentral is "partial 16S ribosomal RNA". It matches the Rfam family "Bacterial small subunit ribosomal RNA", at positions 505 to 796 of the family's 1533-position model. The record is from RNAcentral.
GUGUCAGCAGCCGCGGUAAAACGUAGGUGGCAAGCGUUAUCCGGAUUUACUGGGUGUAAAGCGUGUGCAGGCGGUCGUGUAAGUAGCGCGUGAAAGCGCCCGGCUCAACCGGGCGAGGACGUGCUGUACUGCACGACUGGAGAUGGGUAGAGGCGAGUGGAAUUCCGGGUGUAGUGGUGAAAUGCGUAGAUAUCCGGAGGAACACCAGAGGCGAAGGCGACUCGCUGGGCCCGUUCUGACGCUCAGACACGACAGCAUGGGGAGCGAACGGGAUUAGAAACCCCAGUAGUCC